GAUGAACGCUGGCGGCGUGCCUAAUACAUGCAAGUCGAGCGAACGGACGAGAAGCUUGCUUCUCUGAUGUUAGCGGCGGACGGGUGAGUAACACGUGGAUAACCUACCUAUAAGACUGGGAUAACUUCGGGAAACCGGAGCUAAUACCGGAUAAUAUUUUGAACCGCAUGGUUCAAAAGUGAAAGACGGUCUUGCUGUCACUUAUAGAUGGAUCCGCGCUGCAUUAGCGAGUUGGUAAGGUAACGGCUUACCAAGGCAGCGAUGCAUAGCCGACCUGAGAGGGUGAUCGACCACACUGGAACUGAGACACGGUCCAGACUCCUACGGGAGGCAGCAGUAGGGAAUCUUCCGCAAAGGGCGAAAGCCUGACGGAGCAACGCCGCGUGAGUGAUGAAGGUCUUCGGAUCGUAAAACUCUGUUAUUAGGGAAGAACAUAUGUGUAAGUAACUGUGCACAUCUUGACGGUACCUAAUCAGAAAGCCACGGCUAACUACGUG
Molecule: ribosomal RNA, 497 nt
Filed under: uncultured bacterium
Lineage: Bacteria
Description: partial 16S ribosomal RNA
Rfam family: Bacterial small subunit ribosomal RNA
Source: RNAcentral